CACGUAGGGCGCAAGCGUUGUCCGGACUUAUUGGGCGUAAAGAUCUCGUAGGCGGUCUGUUGCGUCCGCUGUGAAAACUCGGGGCUUAACCCCGAGCCUGCAGUGGAUACGGGCAGACUAGAGGUAGGUAGGGGAGAAUGGAAUUCCCGGUGUAGCGGUGAAAUGCGCAGAUAUCGGGAGGAACACCGGUGGCGAAGGCGGUUCUCUGGGCCUUACCUGACGCUGAGGAGCGAAAGCGUGGGGAGCGAACAGG
RNAcentral lists this ribosomal RNA (253 nucleotides) under uncultured bacterium. Its description in RNAcentral is "partial 16S ribosomal RNA". It matches the Rfam family "Bacterial small subunit ribosomal RNA", at positions 524 to 776 of the family's 1533-position model. The record is from RNAcentral.